This 225-nucleotide ribosomal RNA is filed under the name uncultured Exiguobacterium sp. Its description in RNAcentral is "partial 16S ribosomal RNA". It matches the Rfam family "Bacterial small subunit ribosomal RNA", at positions 568 to 792 of the family's 1533-position model. Lineage: Bacteria; Bacillati; Bacillota; Bacilli; Caryophanales. The record is from RNAcentral.
CGCGCAGGCGGCCUCUUAAGUCUGAUGUGAAAGCCCCCGGCUCAACCGGGGAGGGCCAUUGGAAACUGGGAGGCUUGAGUAUAGGAGAGAAGAGUGGAAUUCCACGUGUAGCGGUGAAAUGCGUAGAUAUUGGGAAGAACACCGGUGGCGAAGGCGGCAACCUGGCUCAUUACUGACGCUGAGGCGCGAAAGCGUGGGGAGCAAACAGGAUUAGAUACCCCCGUA